GACGAACGCUGGCGGCGUGCUUAACACAUGCAAGUCGAACGGAAAGACCCUGCUUUUGUGGGGUGCUCGAGUGGCGAACGGGUGAGUAACACGUGUGUAACCUGCCCUUGACUUUGGGAUAACUUCAGGAAACUGGGGCUAAUACCGGAUAGGAGCUCCUGCUGCACGGUGGUGGAUGGAAAGUUUCGGCGGUUGGGGAUGGACUCGCGGCUUAUGAGCUUGUUGGGGUGGUAGUGGCUUACCAAGUCUUUGAAGGGUAGCCGGCCUGAGAGGGUUGCCGGCGACAUUGGGACUGAGGUACGGCCCAGUCGCGUACGGGAGGCAGAAGUGGGGAGUAUUGCAGAGUGGGCGGAAGCCUGAUGCGACGACGCCGCGUGCGGGAUGACGGCCUUCGGGUUGUAAACCGCUUUCGCCGGUGACGAAGCGUGAGUGACGGUAAUGGGUAAGGAAGCACCGGCUAACUACGUG
Molecule: ribosomal RNA, 468 nt
Filed under: uncultured bacterium
Lineage: Bacteria
Description: partial 16S ribosomal RNA
Rfam family: Bacterial small subunit ribosomal RNA
Source: RNAcentral